RNAcentral lists this ribosomal RNA (492 nucleotides) under uncultured bacterium. RNAcentral's name for it is "partial 16S ribosomal RNA". It matches the Rfam family "Bacterial small subunit ribosomal RNA", at positions 29 to 507 of the family's 1533-position model. The record is from RNAcentral.
AGUGAACGCUGGCGGUAGGCCUAACACAUGCAAGUCGAACGGCAGCACAGUAAGAGCUUGCUCUUACGGGUGGCGAGUGGCGGACGGGUGAGGAAUACAUCGGAAUCUACUUUUUCGUGGGGGAUAACGUGGGGAAACUUACGCUAAUACCGCAUACGACCUACGGGUGAAAGCAGGGGAUCUUCGGACCUUGCGCGGUUGAAUGAGCCGAUGUCGGAUUAGCUAGUUGGCGGGGUAAAGGCCCACCAAGGCGACGAUCCGUAGCUGGUCUGAGAGGAUGAUCAGCCACACUGGAACUGAGACACGGUCCAGACUCCUACGGGAGGCAGCAGUGGGGAAUAUUGGACAAUGGGCGCAAGCCUGAUCCAGCCAUACCGCGUGGGUGAAGAAGGCCUUCGGGUUGUAAAGCCCUUUUGUUGGGAAAGAAAAGCAGCAGGUUAAUACCCCGCUGUUCUGACGGUACCCAAAGAAUAAGCACCGGCUAACUUCGUG